GUGCGCGAAGAGUCGAGCCGAGACGGAGAGAGCUAGAGGAGAGGUUUGGGAUUGGGAUUGGUGGUCGGAGGUGAGGGACAGCGCGGCGGCGGAGGCGAGGGACGGCGCGGCGGCGGAGGCGAAGGACGGCGCAGCGGUGGAGACGAGCGGGAGCCCAGCAGCGAAGGCGAGCGGGAGCGCAGCAGCGUAGCGGAGGAGGAGGAGCGGUAGAGCCACGAGUGGCCCUCCUCGUGCCGAGCGGUGGCGUCGAUGAGGCGCAGCGACGAGGGGGUAACUCGAGCACGCAGGGGUAGCGGACCUCUUCGCCUCCGACGUCGAGGACGUAGACGAGCCGGGAGAAAGGGAGCAGUCACUCGCCGAGUACCGUCGAAGUCUAGGUGACACGUCGUGUACAACAGACAAGACGUUCUAGCUGCGACCGGAAGAUGUAGUACGCCACCGGUACCGGUCACGAGACGGCGGAGGUUGAAUCCGGAGGCAGAGGUGAAGUAAUCCAACUGGGGGGGGGGGAAGAGACUGGAAACGAAAAAGGUACAUAACCGAACGUCCAGCGGUGGACCACCCAUGACCGAGCUUCCACUGCUCCAUGUGGUCGUCAACCUAGUUCUGAUAUACUCCACUACUGUUUGACACAUUAGAAGUCUAGGUGAACUGGUAUCGUUCAUAGACGUUCCCUUUGGUACCAACUACUAAGGAACGGAAAGGUCACGAACCCGCGUGGAUCGUCGACGAAGUGCGGAGAACUCUUACGGCCAUAGGGAAUGAAUCCAACCACGACAUGCCGAACCAACUCGAGUUUUAAGUUGCCUCUGCCGUUAACAGUCAAAACCCGCAGCAGACAAGUUAAAAUGGCUUGAGGACUUGUGGCAUAUAAACAUGCCGUUGUCGACCACUUCGUACAAUCAUAAUAGUUUCACCGAUGAAAAUAGUCCCAGGAAGAGUGUCAUUGGGAACUUAGAGUAACCGAGUAGUACUCCAUAUAUGACCUAUACAGGGAUACCUAAUGUCUCUUAUAGAAUUCUUCUACGGUUUCAGCCACGGACGAGGAAAAGUGAUAAAUAAAUGGUCAUUUAUAAAUAGUUAAUCUCACCUUCCUACUUGACAAGCAUGUAAAAAUACGAAUAAUGACUUGGUUGAUCUCUACCUGUCACUCCACUAGUACAAUGUGACGUCCGACGGUGCCUGAACCAUCGUACAAAGAAGGAGUGGAAUAAUAUAAUGGUUAGACAGCGUGGACAUACAUGUAAGAGUCCCAUAGAUACAUCACGUAUAUCAAGUACUAACUGAUUAUCAUUAAAUCAAAACUGACGGUAGUAUAGUCUUAUCAAUCUAACGUCAAAGUUAGUAUUUAUCGAGUCAAAUACUAACUUGAUAACGACGACAGGUUCUGGAAAGCUAAAAUAUAGGCCCACUAGAAAGACAACCUGAAAGACUAGGAGGAUCGACGUGGAACCGCUUCAGACAGCCUUAAAGACUAAGACUAUUGCUAGUCAUGCACACUACCAGGUAAUUAGUAAAACAACUUUCACGUAAAAAUUUUCUUUGAAGGCGUACCAAUUUAUUAUGUGUACGCCUGUACGCCAAAUCAACUAAACCAGAAUGUCUAUAAUACCUAAAGACCAAAUCUAUGGCCUUAGCGACUAUUUAUGGUGCGGAUCGGAGACAAAGGGAAGGAAUCGUUUGUCACGAUUCGUGUGCAAAUACCGUAAGGACAGAUGGGACUUCGUUUUAUUUCCUUGUUGGGCACCAUUUUCCGAACAUAUACCGGGUUAGUUAAUUUGUAACUGUACCGCCUUCGGCUUAUAUACCAAGAAGGUCAAUAACCAAUGGGAAAACGUAAGAGUCUCGUUAACUUAAUUAUACUACUAUUUUGCAUGAUUGGUCAAUUCAUGGUACCAAAGUCUUGGUAUAAGACUAUAAGUAUGUCCGUUUAGUAAAACUCCGCUUCUUGGCCUACAGAAAAAGGAGUUUCAUUGAAUUUGGUUCGAUGGCCAGGAUAUCGAACCCCAGAGUAACGCGUACGCAUAGAUGACAUCACACAACAACAAACAAAACAUGUUGAAUAUUCUAUGAGACGUAUACUACGGAUACUUACAUUCUAGUACAUCGUUACAAAAAAAAGGAAGAAAGGCCCUCUCGGAAAUCGACGAUUGUUUGUAACACAACAAAUAACACACUCUCAAAAUUCGUCUCCUUGGUUCAUCUUUGACGGGUCCGGAAUGAACACAACUACACUACGGAAUCGUAUAUACUAAAGUUUAGUUUGUAACAAUAUAGAAGAUUUAGUCACAAAGGGUAGUGUGUUGUAUUUAAUCACUAAGUUUAACUAUACCCUCACGAGAUUCUUUAACGGAUUACAAGCUUUGUUAAUCACCAAGUUUAACGUUAUAUAACAUUUGCUAAAUAACAAAAUUCUUACAAUGGUCCCAAACUCUAAGUUAACCACUCCAGCCUAAAUGAAAAUAUAACAAACCCAGUACAAAUGUACAAAAAGAACCAACGUUCACGAGAUGUUAAAAUAUAACUGGCGUGAAUAUUACGAAUCUCUCAAGGUUCGUGCUUUGGUACCAUACGUGCCAACCAAUCUGGAAGUUUUAAUAUACCAGAGGUCGAGUAGUUGAGAAACUUUUAUUUUCCAGACGGUAUUGUGAAACGGGAGAAAAUAGUACAACCAAGUGAAGAAAAGACAUGGUGAACGAGAAAACUAUGGAGUAAGAUGUACACGGAUUAUUCAUAACGUAGAAGGUAGUCAUAAGCGUAUACCAACUCUACUUUUCAACGUAGAUUAUAGUACAUCGAGGUCAGUCUCAAAAGACCAGGUGAUGAACGGUCCCUUAUGAAUGGAACGGUAAACCACACUAAUACACGAGAAUACCCCGACCAAAACAACAUCUAACCACUUGAGUUCUCCGACAACCUCCCUCCAGUUCAUACAACCCAAUAUCUCCGCUCGGGGCUGUGGUAGUCCGUAAGAAUGUAACACGUGGACUAGAGAUGGUACAUCACCUUACCAGAUACACCCGAACGGGCUCUAACGGGGAGAAACGUCCACUUAACCCGUGAAAUGUUUGAGCUGAAGACACGAAGGUAUUAGUUAUCAGGACUAACUUACUCAACAUAGCCAAUACAUUUGAGCGAAGUACGCACUGAAUGACACGUGUAUAUUCGAUACGAUAUAACAAGUAUGUGAAGGAUAAGGACACUGAGUAGUAGACCUACCAUCUCAUUAUUAAUCAACACUGCAAACAACCAUAUUAAUAACUUGGAGGAAAACUAUAUGGUACAACGUAAAGGAUACUUUUGCG
Molecule: ribosomal RNA, 3305 nt
Filed under: Triticum aestivum (bread wheat)
Lineage: Eukaryota; Viridiplantae; Streptophyta; Magnoliopsida; Poales; Poaceae
Description: partial small subunit ribosomal RNA
Source: RNAcentral